Acanthosepion pharaonis is the source of this 97-nucleotide non-coding RNA. NCBI's taxonomy places the organism in Eukaryota, Metazoa, Mollusca, Cephalopoda, Sepiida, Sepiidae. The record is from the annotation of a GenBank genome assembly.
UUGAUACACCGGUCCCCAUACGAUCACAGAAGUUAAGCAAUGUCAGGUUUGGUUAGAACCGCGAUUGGUGACCGCUUGGGAAUACCAGGUGCGGUAA